RNAcentral lists this ribosomal RNA (254 nucleotides) under uncultured bacterium. RNAcentral's name for it is "partial 16S ribosomal RNA". It matches the Rfam family "Bacterial small subunit ribosomal RNA", at positions 524 to 776 of the family's 1533-position model. The record is from RNAcentral.
CACGUAGGGUGCGAGCGUUGUCCGGAAUUAUUGGGCGUAAAGAGCUCGUAGGCGGUGUGUCGCGUCGGCCGUGAAAACCUGGGGCUUAACUCUGGGCUUGCGGUCGAUACGGGCAUCACUGGAGUUCGGCAGGGGAGACUGGAAUUCCUGGUGUAGCGGUGAAAUGCGCAGAUAUCAGGAGGAACACCGGUGGCGAAGGCGGGUUUCUGGGCCGGUACUGACGCUGAGGAGCGAAAGCGUGGGGAGCAAACAGG